This 58-nucleotide ribosomal RNA is filed under the name Burkholderia ubonensis. RNAcentral's name for it is "partial 23S ribosomal RNA". The record is from RNAcentral. Lineage: Bacteria; Pseudomonadati; Pseudomonadota; Betaproteobacteria; Burkholderiales; Burkholderiaceae.
CGCAGUAAUGCGUUCAGCUAACCGAUACUAAUUGCCCGUAAGGCUUGAUCCUAUAACA